This 547-nucleotide small RNA is filed under the name Pongo abelii (Sumatran orangutan). RNAcentral describes it as "retained intron". The record is from RNAcentral. Lineage: Eukaryota; Metazoa; Chordata; Mammalia; Primates; Hominidae.
CAAAAUUGACUGUGAUAACUUGGAGCAGUACUUUAUACAACAAGGAGGAGGACCUGAUAAAAAAGGACACCAGUUCUCAUGUGUUUGUCUUCAUGGUGACAGAAAGCCUCAUGAGAGAAAGCAAAACUUGGAAAGAUUUAAGGUACUGAUACAUAGUUGAUUGUUUCCUUAAUACUUAAGAGGGGCAUUAUAUCUAGUUUUAAGCAGUUUUAAUUAAUAUUAUUAAAGCAGUUAUUGUCCUAGAAAUUUCAAAAUGUUUCUACCCUAACUAAUGUGUCAUCAUCAUGACAGGAAUUAGUCAUUGUUGACACUCAAAUUAUACAUUCUCUAUCAGCACAACACUACUAUAACAAGAAUUUUCAAUUUCAGAAAUUUUAGUUAAAUUACUUCAGGUAGAUAUUUUUAGGAGAAGUAUCAUUGGAUAGUUAAGCCAUGUCUAUGUGCCUUAAAAAUAGUCUCCAGCAAUAGCCAUAAGGAACUUAAUUUGUAGAUUAAUUAAGACAGGUAUCAGAAUAUGGCUAUGUAGAAUUAAAGGUAUUUUGAUACU